UACGGGAGGCAGCAGUGGGGAAUAUUGGCACAAUGGGCGCAAGCCUGAUCCAGCAAUGCCGCGUGUGUGAAGAAGGCCUUCGGGUUGUAAAGCACUUUUAUCGGGAGCGAAAUACCACGGGUUAAUAACCGUGUUGUCUGACGGUACCUGAGGAAUAAGCACCGGCUAACUUCGUGCCAGCAGCCGCGGUAAUACGAGGGUGCAAGCGUUAAUCGGAAUUACUGGGCGUAAAGGGUGCGUAGGCGGUUUGUUAAGUCUGUUGUGAAAUCCCCGGGCUCAACCUGGGAAUGGCAAUGGAUACUGGCAAGCUAGAGUGUGUCAGAGGAUGGUGGAAUUCCCGGUGUAGCGGUGAAAUGCGUAGAGAUCGGGAGGAACAUCAGUGGCGAAGGCGGCCAUCUGGGACAACACUGACGCUGAAGCACGAAAGCGUGGGGAGCAAACAGGAUUAGAUACCCGGUAGUCCACGCCCUAAACGAUGCGAACUGGAUGUUGGUCUCAACUCGGAGAUCAGUGUCGAAGCUAACGCGUUAAGUUCCCCGCCUGGGGAGNACGGUCGCAAGNCUGAAACUCAAAGGAAUUGACGGGGGCCCGCACAAGCGGUGGAGUAUGUGGUUUAAUUCGAUGCAACGCGAAGAACCUUACCUGGCCUUGACAUGUCCGGAAUCGAGCAGAGAUGCGGGAGUGCCUUCGGGAAUCGGCAACACAGGUGCUGCUGGCUGUCGUCAGCUCGUGUCGUGAGAUGUUGGCGUUAAGUCCCGCAACGAGCGCAACCCUUGUCCUUAGUUGCCAGCGAGUAAUGUCGGGAACUCUAAGGAGACUGCCGGUGACAAACCGGAGGAAGGUGGGGAUGACGUCAAGUCCUCAUGGCCCUUACGGCCAGGGCUACACACGUACUACAAUGGUCGGUACAGAGGGUUGCGAAGCCGCGAGGUGGAGCCAAUCCCAGAAAGCCGAUCCCAGUCCGGAUCGGAUCUGCAACUCGACUCCGUGAAGUCGGAAUCGCUAGUAAUCGCGGAUCAGCUAUGCCGCGGUGAAUACGUUCCCGGGCCUUGUACACACCGCCCGUCACACCAUGGGAGUGGGUUGCUCCAGAAGGCGUUAGUCUAACCGCAAGGAGGACGACGCCCACGGAGUGAUUCAUGACUGGGGUGAAGUCGUAACAAGGUAACC
This 1170-nucleotide ribosomal RNA is filed under the name uncultured bacterium. RNAcentral describes it as "bacterial SSU rRNA". It matches the Rfam family "Bacterial small subunit ribosomal RNA", at positions 340 to 1501 of the family's 1533-position model. The record is from RNAcentral.